UUGAGCAGAACCCAGAGAGUUUGUCAGCCCCCAGUUUCCCCCUCCCCGGCGGGGCUCGGAGAGCGGAGGGGGAGGCCGUGAACCAUCCAGCAGGAGUGGCUGGGCUGGAGGCAGCGCUGCCCCAUCCUUGAAAGCUGGAGGCUUGAUCUCCAAAGGCAGCGAGUUCUGGAUAAGGCCUCUGGCCAAAGGAAUUAGGAACUGGGCGGCCAGGACAGCUGUCUCUGAGCUCUGAGAACAAGGACCUCACGCUGUGCCGCGCUGCGAUGCAGGCAGGGGCUCCCGAGGAGCCCCCGUGAGACUGAUUGGAUGAAGCGCUCCCUGGUCAUGCCUUGAUGCUUCUGGGUCUGCCACCCCAGCGGCUCCCAGGAGUUGGCUUCCUGCGCUGAUGGAGACCGACAAAGGCUGCUUGUACUCAGAAUGUCACCCUUCAGAAAGGAGUUACUCAUCAAGCCAUCAUCUUCCAUCAUCACACUGGAAAGCUGACUUUACCAGACUGGCUCCAAGAUUCAGCUAGACCGAGACAAGUCAUACUGGGAGUGUCAAAAAUUGGCUGCUGAGACAAAGGAAAAGUGGAUGUUCAAAUAGAAGCUGAAAGGGUCCUCUGGUCAAAGAAAAUCUACAGAGGCGCUGUAGAAGACAUUCUCAAAUCCCUGGUUCUCUCAGUUAAGGGGUGGAAAGAAAUUGGUUGAUGGUAGCUGGAAGCAACAACAAGAACAAAAAUCUGUAUCGGGGAUGACAGAAUAUGAGAUGGUUG
Cervus elaphus (red deer) is the source of this 754-nucleotide long non-coding RNA. RefSeq lists it as uncharacterized. NCBI's taxonomy places the organism in Eukaryota, Metazoa, Chordata, Mammalia, Artiodactyla, Cervidae. The transcript is spliced from 4 exons. The record is from RefSeq and is a predicted model, not a curated record.